UUGUCCUGGGCCACUCUAAGGUACACAUAAUCAUAUAGAAAGUAUAUAGCAUAUCACACAUAAGGCUAAUUCUAUAAUCUAAUUCAUAUCCAUAUUUUAUUGGGAUUCAGGUUCACAUAUGCUGACGACCCACGUAGAGUUAGUGGCACUAAAAUGGCCCACAUAGAGUUAGUGUGGCGCUUACCAAGGCCCACCGCGUAACAGAAAUGCAAUAAGCACAAUCGCCAGCAUACGGGCCCUAACUAGGUGAUCAAUCAAUUACCAGAUGUAUUCACUAAUCAGUAAUAGCUGCUUAGACUAACAUAUAUAUUAAAUUAUAUAUAUCAGCAAAGUAACAGAACAUGUAUCAUAUUA
This 354-nucleotide long non-coding RNA is filed under the name Linum usitatissimum (flax). RNAcentral's name for it is "long non-coding RNA (LUSI_LNC006643)". The record is from RNAcentral. Lineage: Eukaryota; Viridiplantae; Streptophyta; Magnoliopsida; Malpighiales; Linaceae.